GUCGGUCUCGGGGUGGGGGCAGUGGAAGCCAGAAGGGUGGGAGGUGGCACUGGUCCCAGAACACAGCUCCCACCCUGACCCCUGUCCUGCUGGCCCUUUGCUGCCCCUAAACCUCUGUGCUUCCGGUUCUCUGUUGCUCCUUCAGUGCACACAUCUCUCCAGGAAGUGACUGGAACUUUUGGAAGUGCGUGGGGAGCAUAGAUAAUAAACAGCUCCGAGUCACUGGCGUCCAGGGCACCGCGGGAUGUGGCGGCUGUGGCCACAGCUCUUGGAUGUGCCCAGGGGGUCCUGACCCAGGAGAGAGUUGGGUUCAAGUAUUUGUUCUGCCACUGACAGCUGUGUGACCUUGGUGUAUGACCUUGGCUCUCUGGGGUUUGGUCUGCAAAAUGAUAAUACCCCUGCUUUGCCAGGACUGUCAAUGGGGGCUGAAGCCGCACAUGGAAGGCUGUCACUGCGAUCUCAAAAAGGCGAGUCCCCCAUCACUCUUAACCCAGUGACUCCGAGAGACAGAAAGGAGGGUCUUACUCUGCAGUUCAGGCUGGCCUUGAGCUCACUUUGUGCCCAUGUUGGUCUCAAACUUGCAGCAAUCCUCCUGCCUCGGCCUCCCAAGUGCUGGCAUUACAGUGUUGUGGAUCAAACCUGGAGUUUUGCACAUGGAAUGUGAGUGUUCUACCACUGAGCUGUAUCCGUGGUUCCUGCCAUUUUAUUUUAAACAAUCUAGGGUGGAGGCAUCAAGCAGAGAGUUUAUCUAGGGUACAGUUUAAAAUAAGUAUUUAGAUAUACAAGUAAAAAAUAUAUAUAUGCUUUUUGCUAAUGCUUAAUGAUUAGUAAUUAUAAUUCUUUUAGCAGUAGUAAAGUUUUAGUAAAGGUAGGAAAAGAAACAGACUCUGCAGAGCGAGUCUGAGUCAAGCAAAAGUAGGAGAAUGAGUACAGCCCACAGUGUGGGCAUCUCACUAUGUAUUUGAACAUAUCAGCCUUUGAAUUCACUCUGUAACACCUCAAAUAUACAGUGAUCCUCCUGCCUCAGCUUCCCACGUGCUGGGAUUACAGAUGUGCAUCACCACGCCUGGCUCUUUUUUAUUUGUAUUUUUGAGAGAAUGUCACUAUGCUACCCAAAGUGGCCUUGAACUCCUGGGCUCAAGUAAUCCUCCUGCCUCAGCUUUCCAGGUAACUAGGACUACAGGCAAGCAAAAUUAAAUCUAUAAUACCAUCAUGUUUAGCAAAAUUAAAGGUAUAAUAACAAAUUUGAGGACUUUUUUUGGAGAUAGGAUCUUACCAUGUAAUGCAGGCUAGCCUUGAACUAGAGCCCAGGCUGGUCUUAAACUUGUGGGACUCAUCCUGUCUCAGUCUCCUUGAGUGUAGGAAUUACAGGCUUGCACCACUAUGAUCAGUUACAAUACCAAAUUUUUCACACUGGACAAAUACACCUUUUUGUAAUGAUCUAGAACUCUACCCUCAAGUUAUGAUCCACUUAGCCCUAAGAAGUCCUUUCAAAAGCAGAUUUCAAGCAGCAGCUGCCAUGAGGACCAGGAGGAGAACCAAGAAGCCAAUCCAAGCCUUCCUGUGAGCCAGCCAGCACUCCAGCUGGGAAACAAAAAGAGCACUGCUGCCCCACCCCACAAGCCCCUCCUGUAAGGGACCAUCUGACUUGGAGGAACACUGGCUGAGAUGACGAGAACUGAAGUAAAACAAACAGCCUAAUGCUUGAAUUGACUGACUGACUUUGCAAGCCUAGAUCUGGUAGUUCGAGCAUCUAUUCAGAGGAUAACAAUAUGCAAUAUAGCAAGUAUGGGGGAUUUCUUUCUGUCUUUUUUUUGAAACCCAAUAUUGUUCUCACUGUUUUGUUUUGUUUUAUUCCCUUUAAAAUAAAAAAAUAAAUUUUAAAAAGGCA
This is a long non-coding RNA of Cavia porcellus (domestic guinea pig), 1891 nucleotides long. RefSeq lists it as uncharacterized. Lineage: Eukaryota; Metazoa; Chordata; Mammalia; Rodentia; Caviidae. The transcript is spliced from 3 exons. The record is from RefSeq and is a predicted model, not a curated record.